RNAcentral lists this ribosomal RNA (1588 nucleotides) under Klebsiella pneumoniae. RNAcentral describes it as "bacterial SSU rRNA". It matches the Rfam family "Bacterial small subunit ribosomal RNA". The record is from RNAcentral. Lineage: Bacteria; Pseudomonadati; Pseudomonadota; Gammaproteobacteria; Enterobacterales; Enterobacteriaceae.
ACUGGUCGAGUCGGCCUGCGCGGAAGAUGUAACGGGGCUAAACCAUGCACCGAAGCUGCGGCAGCGACACUAUGUGUUGUUGGGUAGGGGAGCGUUCUGUAANACACAUGCAAGUCGAGCGGUAGCACAGAGAGCUUGCUCUCGGGUGACGAGCGGCGGACGGGUGAGUAAUGUCUGGGAAACUGCCUGAUGGAGGGGGAUAACUACUGGAAACGGUAGCUAAUACCGCAUAACGUCGCAAGACCAAAGUGGGGGACCUUCGGGCCUCAUGCCAUCAGAUGUGCCCAGAUGGGAUUAGCUAGUAGGUGGGGUAACGGCUCACCUAGGCGACGAUCCCUAGCUGGUCUGAGAGGAUGACCAGCCACACUGGAACUGAGACACGGUCCAGACUCCUACGGGAGGCAGCAGUGGGGAAUAUUGCACAAUGGGCGCAAGCCUGAUGCAGCCAUGCCGCGUGUGUGAAGAAGGCCUUCGGGUUGUAAAGCACUUUCAGCGGGGAGGAAGGCGGUGAGGUUAAUAACCUCAUCGAUUGACGUUACCCGCAGAAGAAGCACCGGCUAACUCCGUGCCAGCAGCCGCGGUAAUACGGAGGGUGCAAGCGUUAAUCGGAAUUACUGGGCGUAAAGCGCACGCAGGCGGUCUGUCAAGUCGGAUGUGAAAUCCCCGGGCUCAACCUGGGAACUGCAUUCGAAACUGGCAGGCUAGAGUCUUGUAGAGGGGGGUAGAAUUCCAGGUGUAGCGGUGAAAUGCGUAGAGAUCUGGAGGAAUACCGGUGGCGAAGGCGGCCCCCUGGACAAAGACUGACGCUCAGGUGCGAAAGCGUGGGGAGCAAACAGGAUUAGAUACCCUGGUAGUCCACGCCGUAAACGAUGUCGAUUUGGAGGUUGUGCCCUUGAGGCGUGGCUUCCGGAGCUAACGCGUUAAAUCGACCGCCUGGGGAGUACGGCCGCAAGGUUAAAACUCAAAUGAAUUGACGGGGGCCCGCACAAGCGGUGGAGCAUGUGGUUUAAUUCGAUGCAACGCGAAGAACCUUACCUGGUCUUGACAUCCACAGAACUUACCAGAGAUGCAUUGGUGCCUUCGGGAACUGUGAGACAGGUGCUGCAUGGCUGUCGUCAGCUCGUGUUGUGAAAUGUUGGGUUAAGUCCCGCAACGAGCGCAACCCUUAUCCUUUGUUGCCAGCGGUUAGGCCGGGAACUCAAAGGAGACUGCCAGUGAUAAACUGGAGGAAGGUGGGGAUGACGUCAAGUCAUCAUGGCCCUUACGACCAGGGCUACACACGUGCUACAAUGGCAUAUACAAAGAGAAGCGACCUCGCGAGAGCAAGCGGACCUCAUAAAGUAUGUCGUAGUCCGGAUUGGAGUCUGCAACUCGACUCCAUGAAGUCGGAAUCGCUAGUAAUCGUAGAUCAGAAUGCUACGGUGAAUACGUUCCCGGGCCUUGUACACACCGCCCGUCACACCAUGGGAGUGGGUUGCAAAAGAAGUAGGUAGCUUAACCUUCGGGAGGGCGCUUACCACUUUGUGAUUCAUGACUGGGGUGAAGUCGUAACAAGGUAACCGUAGGGGAACCUGCGGUUGGAUCACCU